ACUCAGAUGCCCUCACUGCAUCUCAAAUGCACUCAGAUGACUGCAGGUCUGGCUGGCAACUCAACUGAAGCCUGAGAGAGAUCCUGAAGCAGCGGGUGCAGCUAAGCCUCUGCUGGAUUCCCAUUAGACAGAAACUCAUCACCAGUUUUCCAUGAGAGCACCAAGCCUGUGAUUUCAGUAGAAGCUUAACUGCUCGUCUUUGAGGCACCAAAUCUGAAAAGCGAUCUUCCUGAAGACCAUGCUAAGGCAAGAACAUCCAUAUAAGGGAGAAUUCCUGAAAGUGUUCUAACACUUCAGUGGAAACUCAUCAAUGCUCUGUACCCAGAAUAAUCCCAUUUCGGAGGGUGCAUGGAUGGGGCAGAUGCAUGAUGUGCCCUGAGGAGCAGAGGAAACAUGGGCUUGGGUUGUGAAGGAUCUCAGAGAAGCUCUCCUGGACUGGCCCAAAUGUCUCAAACUUUAAUGUGCACAUAAAUCUAUUAAAAUGCAGCUUCCACUUCAACACAUCUGGAGUGAGACCAGGUAUUCUGCAUUUUUAACAAACUCUGGUGUAUGCUGGCGGAUGUCUGGAGUGCUGCUGGUCCAUGGACCGCAUGUUGAGUAGCAAGGCCCU
This 610-nucleotide long non-coding RNA is filed under the name Homo sapiens (human). RNAcentral describes it as "HSALNT0060912". The record is from RNAcentral. Lineage: Eukaryota; Metazoa; Chordata; Mammalia; Primates; Hominidae.